This 434-nucleotide ribosomal RNA is filed under the name uncultured bacterium. RNAcentral's name for it is "partial 16S ribosomal RNA". It matches the Rfam family "Bacterial small subunit ribosomal RNA", at positions 29 to 506 of the family's 1533-position model. The record is from RNAcentral.
AGCGAACGCUGGCGGCAGGCUUAACACAUGCAAGUCGAGCGGGCGUAGCAAUACGUCAGCGGCAGACGGGUGAGUAACGCGUGGGAACGUACCUUUUGGUUCGGAACAACACAGGGAAACUUGUGCUAAUACCGGAUAAGCCCUUACGGGGAAAGAUUUAUCGCCGAAAGAUCGGCCCGCGUCUGAUUAGCUAGUUGGUGAGGUAACGGCUCACCAAGGCGACGAUCAGUAGCUGGUCUGAGAGGAUGAUCAGCCACAUUGGGACUGAGACACGGCCCAAACCCCUCCGGGAGGCAGCAGUGGGGAAAAUUGGAAAAGGGGGGCAACCCUGAUCCACCCAUGCCGGGUGAGGUAUGAAGGCCCUAGGGUUGUAAAGCUUUUUUGGGCGGGAAGAUAAUGACGGUACCGAAAGAAAAAGCCCCGGCUAACUUCGG